Molecule: ribosomal RNA, 207 nt
Filed under: uncultured bacterium
Lineage: Bacteria
Description: partial 16S ribosomal RNA
Rfam family: Bacterial small subunit ribosomal RNA
Source: RNAcentral
CAUGUAGGCGGUUGUUUAAGUCUGAUGUGAAAGCCCUGGGCUCAACCCAGGAAGUGCAUUGGAUACUGGCCAACUUGAGUACGGGAGAGGAAAGUGGAAUUUCGAGUGUAGGGGUGAAAUCCGUAGAUAUUCGAAGGAACACCAGUGGCGAAGGCGGCUUUCUGGACCGAUACUGACGCUGAGAUGCGAAAGCGUGGGGAGCAAACA